Molecule: ribosomal RNA, 492 nt
Filed under: uncultured bacterium
Lineage: Bacteria
Description: partial 16S ribosomal RNA
Rfam family: Bacterial small subunit ribosomal RNA
Source: RNAcentral
GAUGAACGCUAGCUACAGGCUUAACACAUGCAAGUCGAGUGGAAACGACAUCGAAAGCUUGCUUUUGAUGGGCGUCGACCGGCGCACGGGUGAGUAACGCGUAUCCAACCUGCCCACCACUUGGGGAUAACCUUGCGAAAGUAAGACUAAUACCCAAUGACGUCUCUAGAAGACAUCUGAAAGAGAUUAAAGAUUUAUCGGUGAUGGAUGGGGAUGCGUCUGAUUAGCUUGUUGGCGGGGUAACGGCCCACCAAGGCGACGAUCAGUAGGGGUUCUGAGAGGAAGGUCCCCCACAUUGGAACUGAGACACGGUCCAAACUCCUACGGGAGGCAGCAGUGAGGAAUAUUGGUCAAUGGACGAGAGUCUGAACCAGCCAAGUAGCGUGCAGGAUGACGGCCCUAUGGGUUGUAAACUGCUUUUAUAAGGGAAUAAAGUGAGUCUCGUGAGACUUUUUGCAUGUACCUUAUGAAUAAGGACCGGCUAAUUCCGUG